This 176-nucleotide long non-coding RNA is filed under the name Ictidomys tridecemlineatus (thirteen-lined ground squirrel). Its description in RNAcentral is "lncRNA (ENSSTOG00000033577.1)". Lineage: Eukaryota; Metazoa; Chordata; Mammalia; Rodentia; Sciuridae. The record is from RNAcentral.
CCAUGCGCAGUGCCGGGAAGAGCCUUUCAGGAAGGUGGACUCCAAGGAGCUGGCCCUUCCCGGGAAGCUGGGCUCUUAACCCCGUCGAGGGGCCACAGGCAUGGAAGACGGUGGAAACGCUUUCCAGUACUGGGGGAGAGCAGUGGGCGGAACCGCCAGCCACGCAAGCCCCGGCC